AAGGAGGGGGGAGCCCAGUUAUAAUGGAAGCUUCAAUUUAUGCUUUAUGAACAAUGCCAGCAUCAUCAUUUUAAUGUUGUCCAUAUGGGCUUCUAAUAAUAGAUAAGAGAUUACACUUGUAUUGUAUAUCUUAGAGACAUUUAAAAUCUUGAUAGUGAAAGGCUGAUUUCAUUGGCCCCACAGUUAAAGGAAAGCAGACCCUAAUUAAAAGAAUUCUGUUCUGAAUUAACUAGUUUGACAUGUGCUAAUUGACAGUUCCUGUGAAAUGGUUCUAAUUAAAGUCAAUAUGUCUUUUUCAAUUAAAAGGAAAUUAAGAAUAUACUAAUAUACAUUAACAACUUAAUCUGCCUUCAAUAUCCCAUAUAUCAGCAGCCUUAAUGUUAUUGGAGAGCCAUCUGACAUAUAUCUUCCACUGUUUGGUUGCAAAGUCUUAUUACUCCAAAAGAACACCAACCAUAUAUGAAUCCCCUUCUGCAAGGAGAAAGCUGGAUUUUGCUCUCAUUUCUGCAGACCCCAAGUGCAAGGAUGAUUGAAGGUAAACCCACGUUUCUUGACAGUUAAGGAAGCAAACUCCAGAACAGAAGCAAGUAGGAACAGGGGCGAAAUCAUUCGUGUAUCCCCUGCUUAUAUAAACCACCUCCUCCAAAUGAAGUUGUUGAUUCAAGCUAACAAAUCUGGAUUACAGCCUCAGGACCAUGUAAACAAACAACUUGAAGAUUAUAGCAAGCAUAUCUAUGAAGUUCAUUAGACUUCAAUUCCCAUCAUCCUUGACAAAU
Long non-coding RNA from Lacerta agilis (Sand lizard), 776 nucleotides. RefSeq lists it as uncharacterized. The transcript has 3 exons. The record is from RefSeq and is a predicted model, not a curated record. Lineage: Eukaryota; Metazoa; Chordata; Lepidosauria; Squamata; Lacertidae.